Molecule: long non-coding RNA, 2183 nt
Filed under: Homo sapiens (human)
Lineage: Eukaryota; Metazoa; Chordata; Mammalia; Primates; Hominidae
Description: non-protein coding lnc-DEPP1-5:1
Source: RNAcentral
GUCUCUGGAUGGCUAUUUCAGAUUAUUUUCCAGAAAGAUAAUACUUAUCCAUACUCCUGCUAGCAGGAUUCAAGGACUAUCUAAAUGUACAUUCGUUUUUAAUUUAACUGUUGAAACUGUUGUCUCUUCAGUCUUAGUUGGCACUCAGAAGGAACUUUUGCUCCAAAGCCCAUGAAAGAGCAGUAGAGAUUCUAUUGAAAAGUAAACACCUUAUUAAUUCAAAUUAUAAGCAUUUGAAGCCUUCAUAGCUGUAAACAAUUCAUUUACAAAUGUCAAAAACAGAAAGUAAAGAUUCUAGGUAUCAUAGCUUGAGAGCGUAUAAGAAACAGAUUUUAUGGGCACCAUCCAAUUCCAGUGGAGAGUAUCACUUUAUCUGUAAUCUCUUUAUUCCUGGCUUCUUCUGUCCGUUGAAAAUGAGCUGCACUUAGAAUUAUUUUUGGCACUAUUUUUCCUUUCAUUAUUCACAGUAGAAUGCAUGCCUCAAGUAUUUACUUUUGGCUACAUCCUUACUUUGUAAAACCUUUCUCUUAUGUUUAGGUGCAUACACACACACGUUGAUGUUAUAAUCACAACCAAACCUAGUGUUGUGUCUUUCACUCAUACAAAAGCACAUUGAGAUAGUCAAACUUAGUGCAUGCUAAAGGGAUACACAUGUAAGUUGUGCAUAUAUCUGUGCAAAUGGUAUGCAUGUGUGUGUGCAUGUGUUGCGUGUGUGCCUAUGUUUAUUCUUGGGGUGAAGGACAGGGAAGGUUACGGCUGAUAAAGAUAUCUGGGGUGUUCAUCUGAUCCCGCUGGUACUGCAUCCCAUAGUAAGGCUUAGAUUUGCAGUGUGGCCAUCAUAGGGCCUGGGAGCUGGCCUGCCCUUCCUCCGACUGAUGCUCUAAAGCAUCCCUGUGGGAUAGGCUGACAAGGGGUAUUCUUCCAAAGCUGGAGGUUGGGGGAGUCAGAGGCUUGCACCCAAGGCCCUCAGCUGGAGGUGGGAGAGAUGCAGAUGGUCUCAUCUUCGGUUCCUAGACAGUGUUCUUUCCCUUCCAAGUUGCUGCCUUGGCCUCUGGUGGUCCCCACUCCUCUUCCUCCCAAGGCAGUAACUGAAUCCUGCAGGUAUGGGCCAGGACAGGGGGGUCUGGCCCCUCCCUUCCAAGCCACUGCUUCAUUUGGACACACUCCCUGCAUUCGACCUGCCGCUCUGUGAUUGGUGCCCUUAGGUCUGUGUCACCAUGUCUGGAGCUCAGCCUUCUGGUCACUCUUCCCCUGCGCCUCUGGUCCACAAGGAGCUUAUGGGCCAUCCUCUCACAGGAUGCUCUGGCAGAUAGGCUGUCCUCCCUGGGGCGGAGCUCCUCGCUCAGGACCUGGUCUUCUUUGUGUCCCUGCAGCAACUCUCCCACCACGCUCACAGCUGUGGCUGACUAAUGAGAUCUGGGUGUAGAAGGAAUUGCCCAAAGGCCCAGAGACAUGAGCCUCAGACAGCCUUGUAGGUCCUGCUGUAACUGGCUCUGUAGGGACGGUUCUGGGGGAAGAUUCAACCACAGAGUAACCCUUUCUGUGGAUGAGCUUGGUUAAGUAGUAUCCAUUCAGGUCCAUUCCAGCCUUGCCUGUGAGCAAACUGGUUCCUGGCUUUCAUCUCAGCAGCCAGCUGGGCACCAUAAACAAGAAACCACUGACUAAGAAGCAAAGGUUGGCAUGUUUUCAGUGGGCCUUGAACUUCCACCCAGAAACCUUAUCUCUGGCAAAACAAAUUCUCAGAUCAGUUCCACAUUCUAUGGUUGGAAAUAGCAUUGUGGGAAAGAGUUGACCAGAAAACAAUGCAGGAACACCUUAUUUCUUUGCAAUGGGCAUGGCAAAGUACCUCUCAGACUGCUUCAGAGAAGGUUUUUAAUGCAGAUCUCUUAGCACCUCUGACCCUGGAAUGAACUUGCCCUCUAGCACCAUCCCCUGCUCGAUUUGCUCCUGCCUUCAAACUCCCGCCAGGUGCUCAGGAGUUCUGCUCAAACCCCAUGCUGCCUGGCCUGACCUCUCAGUGCACACCACAGGCUGCUCCAGGACCUUAGACCAGCUGGUUUCUUCUAAAGUUACCCAGAGCGCCCCCAGGAGCCACCUCAGGACACCCCCACUUCCCACACAAACAUGGACACCUUAGAGUUUUUCUCCAGACAGAACACCUGCCACCCUGAGAUUGGGUGGCU